GUGCCUUUGAAAUGAUCGAUACACCUUCUCUGAUUCCUUUUAUUUUUAGAGACCCACAUUUGUUGCUUCCAUUCUUCCUAAUGGCAUCAAAUAUCGGAUCUCAAAUUGGUCAUCCUCGAAACAACGCUGAAAUCGAUCAAGUUCGUUGGUGAUUUGGCUCAGUAUCUUUACAAAUAUUCUCCUCUACAUUGCUCCCAUUUCGAUCUAUCUCUCUUCUUCAUUUUAUUUUAUCCUUAUUUUUUGCAAGGGACUUCCUACAAAAUGCAGAUAAAUAGAUUGUUGAAGGCAUGCUGUUUAUGUGGUUGUUAUAGAUAAAUUAUCUCUAUAAUUCAUCAUUGUUCUGCUCCUGCUUUAAUUUUUUUCUAAAUUUGAGAGUGACUCUGGUGCACAAGGUUUGUACCUUCAUCUUCUUUUGCAUUAAAUUCUUGAUUUAUUUUCUUUUUUAUUUGUUACUUUGACUUUUAUAGUGCAGUGUGAAUUAUUUUCUACUUUGAUAUGGUGGUCCUGUUAAGCUAUACAAAAUAAAAAUUAUUUAGUUGUCACUACAUGUCUUUCAAAUGAAGUUUUAUUGUUUCUGUCCAUUGGGUUAUACAUUGUACUAAUCUUUAUGUUUACAAAAAGAAUGUAAUGAGUAUAUAUAGUUUUUGAGUUAUACAUUGGGUUUAAGUACAUUAAUU
RNAcentral lists this long non-coding RNA (677 nucleotides) under Medicago truncatula (barrel medic). Its description in RNAcentral is "lncRNA gene38615". The record is from RNAcentral. Lineage: Eukaryota; Viridiplantae; Streptophyta; Magnoliopsida; Fabales; Fabaceae.